RNAcentral lists this ribosomal RNA (591 nucleotides) under fungal sp. CNEF1. RNAcentral's name for it is "eukaryotic LSU rRNA". The stretch from base 186 to 339 matches the Rfam family "5.8S ribosomal RNA". The record is from RNAcentral. Lineage: Eukaryota; Fungi.
GUACCUGCGGAGGGAUCAUUACCGAGUUUACAAACUCCCAAACCCUUUGUGAACCUUACCUAUCGUUGCUUCGGCGGGAUCGCCCCGGCGCCUUCGGGCCCGGAACCAGGCGCCCGCCGGAGGCCCCAAACUCUUAUGUCUUUAGUGGUUUUCUCCUCUGAGUGACACAUAAACAAAUAAAUAAAAACUUUCAACAACGGAUCUCUUGGUUCUGGCAUCGAUGAAGAACGCAGCGAAAUGCGAUAAGUAAUGUGAAUUGCAGAAUUCAGUGAAUCAUCGAAUCUUUGAACGCACAUUGCGCCCGCCAGUAUUCUGGCGGGCAUGCCUGUUCGAGCGUCAUUUCAACCCUCAGGCCCCCAGUGCCUGGCGUUGGGGAUCGGCGUGGGCGGCGACGGCUCUCCGGAGCCCGAGCCAAUGCCUGCCGGCCCCGAAAUUCAGUGGCGGUCUCGCUGUAGUCCCCCUCUGCGUAGUAGCACAACUCGCAUUGGAGCUCGGCGGUGGCCAUGCCGUAAAACACCCCACUUCUGAAAGUUGACCUCGGAUCAGGUAGGAAUACCCGCUGAACUUAAGCAUAUCAAUAAGCCGGAGGAA